CCUACGGGUGGCAGCAGUGGGGGAUAUUGCACAAUGGGGGAAACCCUGAUGCAGCGACGCCGCGUGGGUGAAGAAGCGCCUCGGCGCGUAAAGCCCUGUCAGCAGGGAAGAAAAUGACGGUACCUGAGGAAGAAGCCCCGGCUAACUACGUGCCAGCAGCCGCGGUAAUACGGAGGGAGCAAGCGUUAUCCGGAUUUACUGGGUGUAAAGGGGGCGCAGAUGGCGAUGCAAGCCAGGAGUGAAAGCGCGGGGCCCAACCCCAGGACUGCUAUUGGAACUGCGUGGCUAGAGUGCAGGAGGGGCAGGCGGAAUUCGUGGUGUAGCGGUGAAAUACGUAGAUAUCACGAGGAACACCGAUGGCGAAGGCGGCCUACUAAACUGCCACUGACGUUGAGGCCCGAAAGCGUGGGGAGCAAACAGGAUUAGAUACCCGAGUAGUC
RNAcentral lists this ribosomal RNA (440 nucleotides) under uncultured bacterium. RNAcentral's name for it is "partial 16S ribosomal RNA". It matches the Rfam family "Bacterial small subunit ribosomal RNA", at positions 338 to 795 of the family's 1533-position model. The record is from RNAcentral.